GGUGGGGUGGGUGUGUCACAGGAAUUGGGAGCUAGGCACCCUGAAGAGCUCUUCCAGGCCGGGUGGGGGUGGGGUGUCAGUUCUGCAGGAUCUGCCAGAGGACGUCUCAUGUUCCAGACACACAGGCACUGAGAGGUGGCGAUACAAGGUGGGAAAACCAAGGGCCACGGUUGACUCAUUUAGGACAAUUUCCCAAAAUUUGCACCUCAGAAUACUAGCUCCAAGGGAUAUUAAACUCAGAAAAAAGGGCUAAAAGACCAAAUAAAUUUAGGAAAUGCUGGAUUAAAUAAAGGUUUCAUAUUUACAGCAAUACCAUUCAGAGGCCUUUCAUAUGCUAACAUGAUGUUCUCCAAGAGGGGACGUACACUGAUCCAAUCAUUGCCUUUAAUUUAAGAAAAAAGGAAGGAAGGCUGUUUGGAGGGGCAGAGAUAAUGCUAUGUUUUCAUCAAAUCCUAUUUCUGUCUUUCCGGAUACCGAGAAGACAACAUUGCCAGCCUCCCUUGAAGUUAGCUUGGGGCAUGUGACUAAUUCUGGCCAACUGGCUGGGAACAGAAGUAACAUGUGGCACAUCCAAGCCAAAGCAUUUAAGAGCUGGGACCCAACCCUCUAGUUCUCUCUUCCUCUGAUGUGAUCGUGGAGGUCACAUACUGAGGUGGCACAGAAAGGCAGCAACCUGAAUCACAGAGUCCCCUUCAGGAAGGCAGCUGCCCUAAAAAGUCACCUGACUCAGAACAGACCUAUCAGUAAAAACUCAGCACUUGUGUCAGGCCGGUGAAAUGUCUGGGUUAAUUACUGCAGCCUAGCUGAGCCCAUCCUGACCACGCGUCAGCUAAAAAAUGUCACGGGAAAGGCAGUACGCUAGCCCAGAAGGGAGAAGGUCAGCGCCCAACCGCUUGUGCCUUUAGUCAGCUAAAAGGGGUGUGUCUCAGACAGUCCAAGGGGCAAAGAUGAGGGAGUCUCUACCUGCAGCUCUGUCACCCCCCCAACACAGUUAAUACCCUGUUUGGCAAUGACGGUUACCUGGACCAUAACUGAGCCCUGCUCGGGGUGACACCUGACGAGAUGUGGGCUGACUCCAACAAGGCAGGUGGGAGGGGGCAAUAGCGCAUCCCCCCACUGCCUUCCUGUGGCACCAGAGGGUCUGCUGGGUUUGUGGUGGUCUUCUCCUGGGUCUUGGGAUGUCCAGGUUAGCCAGGGCAGACAGGCAGAGGGCAAAGGUGGAAAGGAGAUCCUCUCUCCUCAGAACAAUUUUGGCGUGGUGGGGGCCAGCGGGGGACAGUAAGGGGCAGAAGGUCGACAGAUGGGUAAUUUAUACCAGGCCCCAUGAAGUGUGGAGCUGAGGGUCUGGCCUCCAUUCUGGCAUCUUCUGCUGCAGAGGGAAGAAACUGAGGGAUAAAGGACAAUGACGGAAAGAAAGAAAAUAAUAAAACCACGGCUACUGCUUAACAAAGCUGCUCUUCCCCUUAAAACAUGGGGGCCAUAUUUUGCCACUAGUGGCUGGGUGGCUGUCUCAGGGGUGAGAGAGUGAGCAGAGAAUGGAGAACAUGUUGAUUGAAAAGGAAGCCCUCUUAGAUAAGAUUUGCUGUAUCCAAGAUAACAAAGCCCAGUGCUGUUGUUUGUAUUUCUUAACGUUUUUAGGUCAGUGUUUUGCAAACUUCAGUUGUAUCAUAAACAUGGUCUGGGGAACAUACACAGACCCAGGCCACGUCCUGCUGCAACAAGCCUGGGCCUCUGCAUUCUUCCAAGCAAAGAUCCACAGGACCAACUUCCAGAUGAUUCUGACACACCCCCAAGUGUGGGAACCGUUGAUCUAGGCCAUCCUGCCGAUUAUGGAAAGGAAGCUCAGAAGAUCAUCACUGCUGAUGCUUUGGUUGCAGAUUUUCUUAAAUGUCUGGUGAUCACUGAUGGGUUAUACAUACUUAAAAAUGAGGCCACAAAAAGCUGACUGAGAGCCCCUGUUGGUGGGUAGAGCUCGUCAUCCUGGGAGCCCUGUUUUUAGGAAGAUUAGCCCUGAGCUAACAUCCGUGCCCAUCUUCCUCAACUUUAUA
This is a long non-coding RNA of Equus caballus (horse), 2048 nucleotides long. RefSeq lists it as uncharacterized. Lineage: Eukaryota; Metazoa; Chordata; Mammalia; Perissodactyla; Equidae. The record is from RefSeq and is a predicted model, not a curated record.